CCUACGGGAGGCAGCAGUGGGGGAUAUUGCACAAUGGGGGAAACCCUGAUGCAGCGACGCCGCGUGUGGGAAGACGGUAUUCUGGAUUGUAAACCACUGUCCCCAGGGACGAAAAUGACGGUACCUGGGGCGGAAGCUCCGGCCAACUACGUGCCAGCAGCCGCGGUAAUACGUAGGGAGCAAGCGUUGUCCGGAAUUACUGGGUGUAAAGGGAGCGUAGGCGGGGAUGCAAGUUGGGUGUCAAAACUACCGGCUCAACCGAGAGUCGCACUCAAAACUGCAGCUCUUGAGUGAAGUAGAGGCAGGCGGAAUGCCUAGUGUAGCGGUGAAAUCCGUAGAUAUUAGGAGGAACACCAGUGGCGAAGGCGGCCUGCUGGGCUUUUACUGACGCUGAGGCUCGAAAGUGUGGGGAGCAAACAGGAUUAGAUACCCUUGUAGUC
RNAcentral lists this ribosomal RNA (440 nucleotides) under uncultured bacterium. RNAcentral describes it as "partial 16S ribosomal RNA". It matches the Rfam family "Bacterial small subunit ribosomal RNA", at positions 338 to 795 of the family's 1533-position model. The record is from RNAcentral.